Molecule: non-coding RNA, 5361 nt
Organism: Solanum lycopersicum (tomato)
Lineage: Eukaryota; Viridiplantae; Streptophyta; Magnoliopsida; Solanales; Solanaceae
Source: RefSeq, a predicted model, not a curated record
CUCACCUAAAAACAAGUAGGUCCUCCCCUGAGAGGGACAGAUCUAAGAUCCUUUAGAAGGAAAAUUGUAGAUUUACUGGGUGUGAUGUUGUAGAUAGUUGAGUUGAAUAACUAAAAAUAAGGAACGAGGCAUUGUCAAUUAAGUUUGUAAUUUCUUUAGCCCUGGCCAGGAAAAAAGCAACAUGAACGAUAAUGAAGUUACCACAAUUUAUGAGUAGGUUGUUUGGUAUUUUUUUAAAGAUUUUUUUUAUAUUUAUUAAGAAGUAGUUUUAAACAAUGCCAACGUUAAUAGUUAGGUUGUAGGGUAAUCCGCCUCGGUGGUAUGCCCAUUUAAACUAAACUGUAUCACAUUAGACCCUAGACAUUGUUUGAAAUAUUUUUGUUAAUGUACUGUACAUAGUUCCUAGAUUGUCUACGUCCACUUGUUUCGGGGAAUGCAUUAGAAGAACUCUCUAGCAAAAUGCCUAGUUCAUAAAAAAAUGUCAACUUCGUCAGCUUCUUGGCCAAGUUGUCUGCCACUCUAUUUUACACCUGAAACACAUGGGUCAUCUAUUGAUUUUAUGUUUUCGCAUCAAGUACCUGCACACAUCAACAUUGUUUUCAUAUAGUGUAUUAGUUUUUUUUAAAGCAUUUGAAUAGUCUAAAUUAAAUCAAAAUUUAUUUCAAGAGGAGUGAAUAUGUGGUAUACAACUAUUUUGAUCCCUCAUCGCAUUACUAACAGUUCAACUCUUAUAGUGUGUGUGUGGGGAGCAUCAUCUAAAACAGAAAUGAUCCAAUGGACCAGUUGAUUUUCUUUUUUAGUGCUUUAUUUGCCGAUGAGUAAACUCUACACAUUGACCUGAGAGAUGGCUUGGUGGCCACUAAUGGGACUUCUUUGGUGAUUGAAAGUGUUAUUAUUCCUUGUUAGCCAUAUGUUCCAUGGCCAUAAAGGAAUAGGAGUAUUCUGGUCCAUCCAUUGGUUUAAAUGUUUCCCCAUAAGUUUAUUCCGUUAAUCGAUCCAAUUGCUCAUAUUUAUCCUACCCAGUUUCCGCUCUUUACAUUCCAAUGGUUGAGUGAAUUUAGGCAUUCUAAGAACAUCUGAAUAGUCUCCUCCAUUGGUAACAACAAUAUCACAUUUUGUAUGGAGAUUCAUUCCUUUUUGCUAAAGGGACUAAUUUUUAGGUAGUCUUCAAUGUUGCAAUAAACAGACGAAUGUUUCAAUUUCACUGGGCCCAUCUGUAGCCCAGAUCAAUUUAAGAUUCUCAUUUGGAAACCCUGGGUUCUUGAAUGUUUUAUCCUUAAUAUAGUCGUACGUUGUACUUCUUAAGAUAUACCCAUUCCUUGUAAGUCCCCAAUCCAAUAUAUAUUCUUUUGUUCCCUGUUGUGGGACGAGGUGGCGGUUAACCAUGCUAUUCGUACAGUCAUGCAAUUUGAAGGAACGUUUUUCAAAUUCCCAUGUCUCGUGUUUAUAGAUUUCAGAAAUCUCAAUUUUUCCUUCCUCAUUGGUCGUUGGGCCUUGGAUAAUGCUUCGCAUAGUCUCAAUGUGGUAGCAAAUUACCACUGAAAAAGUUCAAUCUGUUUUCUAUAUGCACUAUCCACUUUGCUUCCUUUAAUAUGUCUAUUAAACCAUUUUGAAAGUUUUUCCAUGUUCCAGAGACAACUCCUUAUUUGGAGAUUUUAUUGGACUUCCAUUACCUUCUCAUUUGGACUUUACUCUAUAUAUUAUUUGGUUUCUGAUCCUCCAGCAUAGGCUUGAGAAAAUAGUUGAUUUUCGUAUCUCACUUUUCUAUAUGCUAACCCCUCUCAUGUUUUUCCUAUUGGUUAUCAUGUGUUUAUUAAGGAGUGUUUCCCAAUUAAGAAGGUAUACUAUCAUGUCUCGUUUGUUGUCCCCUAGAUGAAUUAUCUCUAGAUUUUGUUCCUUGUGCUAGUAAUAUUUCAUAACGUUGUUAUAUAUUGAAUAACAUGUAAGUUGAUGCUUCUAAGGGAGUCCUUAGCAAGCACUACAGUACGUGUAUUAUUGAGGAGUUCUAUCUUUCAGCAAGACAUAUUUUUCAUCAUGUUGUCAAUGAUUUAUUGAAAAUCAGUAUUCCUCGGCUUCUGUUUGAAGAUUGGCAAUCCUAGCGAUUUCCCAAGGAUUUUUUAGGCUUCUAUCCUCAAGGGAGUGGAGCACAUGGUUCUAGUAUAUUUGUGGUGUUUUAGAGUAGAUGAUUUGGAUUGGAAAGUAUCACCCUUUGUCUAGAGUUGGUGCAAAAAACAUUGAGUAUCUUGGAGGUGGCACUAUAGUUCUUAUUGUUAGCUCUAGCAAACAUACAGGGGUCAUAAGAAAAUAAAAUAUGGAAAAUUUUUAUUCCUGUCAUAGUGAUUGUUAAUGGGGGUCUAUUGUUUUUGUACUAAACCUCUUUCAAUGUCUCCUUAUAGCUUUUCCAUACACAUGAUGAAGAGAUAGUGAGAUAGGUGGUCUCUUUCUCUAAUUCACAUUUAGGGUCUAAAGAAACUAGUUCUUUUUCUGUUGACAAGUAUGACAAUAGAGCUAGUGCAAAUGCAGAGAGGAUUAACUUGGAGAGUUUAUGAGAAAAGUUGAAGUUCUAGAGGGUUUUACUUAUGUAGAACCAUUCAAAUUUGUCAAAGGCUUUUUCGAAGUCAUUUUGAGCAUGACGUUGGACUUUUAACCUUCAAUCUUCCCUAAAUGGGAGAUGUGUUCUUUCACAAUGAUAGUAUUGUCAGAAGCUUCUCUGUUGUGAAGGAAACUAGCUCAAUUGAUUCCAAUGACUGAAGAAGGAUGUGCUUUAUUAUUUUUACUAAGAUCUUUCUUACAAGCUUGUAAGUUGUAUUGCACAGGCCAAUGAGAAUUCCAUCUUGUGAGGGUUAAGGGGUUAGGACAUUUGAGGAUGAUGCACAUAAUGAUAUUUAUGUGAUAGGUAGGAAUGUGGUACUUUUCAAAAGCAACUUUAGAGAAGAUUAUGUUCUUUCCACAAACAAUAUUGCAGUUCUUUUGGUAGAACAUGUCGUUCAAUCCAUCAAGCCUAGGGGCUUUGAGUGGGUGGAAGGACUUGACGGAAUUAGAGAUUUCAUUAUAUCCAAGGGGGGAGUCAAAGGAAUUGUACAUUUCCUCAGAGGUCUUUUCCCCUAUAAUUGAUGUUUUUCUAUUGGAUUGGUUGUGCUUAGUGGUGUAAAGGGUUCGAAGAAUUUGGUUAUGUGGUUCAUGAGUUGAUCUUGGUACUCUAUUAGCUUUCAACUAUCACCCUUCAUUGAGGUGAUACAAUUUCUUAUCCUUAUAUUUACUGUAGAUGUUUGCAAGAUAUUUGUGUUUUCAUCACCCUCUCUAAUACAAUUUAUAUUAGGCUUCGUUUUUAUAAAUUCUUUCUAAGUAUCUAGGUGGUUUUUGUACUCUUGAAGGACACUAGAAUAUAGAUCUUGAAGGAAGGAUCUAUUGAGGUAUCUUAGGGACCUCUGAAUCUGAUAAAGUCUUGAAAUAAUUAUUCUGAUGUUUCUGAAGAUGUUUCGAAAGGCAAAGGUAUUCAAAAAGGUGGCCUCUUUUUGGAAAGGAUUUAUGGAUGCAUAAAAGGUAUCUUGGUUAUCAAACUAAUAUUGGACCAGGAGUUUUAAUGAUGGGUGCCCACACCACAUUUUCUUCAUUCUGAAUAGUUUUAGACCAUUAUUUAUUAAGUGUAAUGAUCAUAGUGCAGUGGUCAACCAUGCUUCAUGGAAGGUGGGCUAUUAUAGAGUCGGGGAAAAGCCUUAUCUAGGCAUCAUAUCAAACACACUUAUAUAGUCAUUCAAAGACAAGGUUGCUUCUAUUCCUAUAUCUCCAGUUAGUCCAAUUAUAUUUACAAUAUUUAUGUCCUAAGUACAUAAUUUUGCAUUCAUUCCAGCAAUUCAAGAAGAGACUAACCCUAUUGUUAUUAAUGCUAUUCCCUCCUAGCUUUUCGUUGGCAUGGGGGACAUUAUUGAAGUAUUUGUGUUUGAGAGGCUACCUACUUCUUUCCAGACGUAAGUUCUAGUGUUGAAGUAAAGAAUAACAUAGACUACUAUCAUAAAAGAAAGAUGGGGAGUCCGAUAAUAAAUUGACAAAUAUAAGGAUUCCUUUGGGGUUAUUGACAAGUUUUCAAGCUUCAGUGUGUCACAGUUUAACAUUAUAACUAUCUGUUCUAAGAUACCAUUUUUAGAAAACAAGAUUUGCGAGUAAAACAUUACGUAAUCAGUAAGGCUUCGAUGCGUAUUUAUUUUUCUUUCAUGUAAAACGAGCAUCACGGGCAUGUGAAUGUUCACCAUUGCUCUACACCAUCGCCUGAAGCUCGCGUUAUCGUCUCCUAUCUUGUUCCACAUAAUAAAAUUCAUCAAAAACUCAUGUUGUGUUGUUACACCUACAAGCCCUUCCCAUUCUCAUUCUCCACUAUAGAUGUAUAAUCAAGUGGGGUUCUGUACCACUACUGCAUGGAUAGUUCCUUCUCGUUCCUCAAAUUCAAGAUGCAUCUCUUAAUCUCAUGUGGAAACUAGACUAUUACUCUAAUGUUGAAGGGUUCCUCGAACUCCUUGAAGAAUAACAUCUCCAAGAUGCACGUCUCCAUACUUUUUUUCAAAGUUCUGUAAAUCAUUCUUCUCGUUCCUAAUUGUUAUUUUAUCAGUUCUAGGAUUGAGGUUUCCAUUCCUUCUAGGUUGUUAUUCUCUCCUUCUAUUUAUGGUAUUUAUGAGUAUAAUAUGUUCUAGACCUCCUGAGGUAUUUUAGGUAGGAAGGAAAGACUCUAAGCACUAAUUAAGUAUGAGAGAGUGCGAAAGAAGGGGAGGCUCUAGAAUAUGUCGUUUAUCAAUACACUUAGUUCCUCCAUUGUUAUUGUGUUCCUAUUUCCACAUAUCUGGGUUUAUAUUUGUGUCUGCAUCGAUAUUUGUUGGCCUUAUUCUGUAAUUACUUUGUUGAUCCCAUUCUUGAUGAUUUUGGAUAGGUAUCCCGGAUCUAUGAGGAUUAGUGUCACCCAAUUUCUUGCUUUCAUAACUUGGAAGGUUUGAUGAUUCUCUUGCAGUGCUAGCUUUAGCGAGGAGGUCGGAGUGUGGUGCGUGUCAUCGGCUCUGUCAUGAAGAUCAUUUUCCUCCUAUUAGGAAAUGAUACGAUUUCUACGGUGUCCAACUGAUCCAUUCAUUUAGGUGGUUGUGGAUGUUGGAAUUAUUGCAUCAAUGUUUAGUCUUCCAAAACUGUUACUUAGAUUUUACAAGAAGUCUUUUUAGAAUUUGUAGUACAUGUAUCUAGUAAAUUGUGAUACAUGUAUUUAGUUAUUUGUGCAAGAGAUUUUGUUUUUUAUUUUGAGUAGUAUAAAUAGUGAUGUAGUUGAUGAUUGUAAUAAUCUCAAGAGGCUUUAAGUGGCUAUAAUAAACUUGAGCAUUUUCUAAA